AGUGAACGCUGGCGGUAGGCCUAACACAUGCAAGUCGAACGGCAGCACAGGAGAGCUUGCUCUCUGGGUGGCGAGUGGCGGACGGGUGAGGAAUACAUCGGAAUCUACUUUUUCGUGGGGGAUAACGUAGGGAAACUCACGCUAAUACCGCAUACGACCUACGGGUGAAAGCAGGGGAUCUUCGGACCUUGCGCGAUUGAAUGAGCCGGUGUCGGAUUAGCUAGUUGGCGGGGUAAAGGCCCACCAAGGCGACGAUCCGUAGCUGGUCUGAGAGGAUGAUCAGCCACACUGGAACUGAGACACGGUCCAGACUCCUACGGGAGGCAGCAGUGGGGAAUAUUGGACAAUGGGCGCAAGCCUGAUCCAGCCAUACCGCGUGGGUGAAGAAGGCCUUCGGGUUGUAAAGCCCUUUUGUUGGGAAAGAAAUCCAGCUGGUUAAUACCCGGUUGGGAUGACGGUACCCAAAGAAUAAGCACCGGCUAACUUCGUGCCAGCAGCCGCCGUAA
This 506-nucleotide ribosomal RNA is filed under the name uncultured bacterium. RNAcentral describes it as "partial 16S ribosomal RNA". It matches the Rfam family "Bacterial small subunit ribosomal RNA", at positions 29 to 523 of the family's 1533-position model. The record is from RNAcentral.